RNAcentral lists this ribosomal RNA (482 nucleotides) under uncultured bacterium. RNAcentral's name for it is "bacterial SSU rRNA". It matches the Rfam family "Bacterial small subunit ribosomal RNA", at positions 29 to 506 of the family's 1533-position model. The record is from RNAcentral.
UUGAACGCUGGCGGCAUGCUUUACACAUGCAAGUCGAACGGCAGCGGGGGCUUCGGCCUGCCGGCGAGUGGCGAACGGGUGAGUAAUGCAUCGGAACGUACCCAGUCGUGGGGGAUAACUACGCGAAAGCGUAGCUAAUACCGCAUACGCCCUGAGGGGGAAAGCGGGGGACCUUCGGGCCUCGCGCGAUUGGAGCGGCUGAUGUCGGAUUAGCUAGUUGGUGGGGUAAAGGCCUACCAAGGCGACGAUCCGUAGCUGGUCUGAGAGGAUGAUCAGCCACACUGGGACUGAGACACGGCCCAGACUCCUACGGGAGGCAGCAGUGGGGAAUUUUGGACAAUGGGCGCAAGCCUGAUCCAGCCAUGCCGCGUGAGUGAAGAAGGCCUUCGGGUUGUAAACUGCUUUUGUACGGAACGAAAAGGCUCUGGUGAAUACCUGGGGCUCAUGACGGUACCGUAAGAAUAAGCACCGGCUAACUACGU